GCUCUGACGACUCUCUGAGGGAGCCUUGUCCGUCAGGCUCAGUGCGUUUUGGUUCAGGCGCCCGUUAGUGGCGGAAGAGGCCACGCGGAGUCUCCUCCCUGUGUCACCCAGGCUGGAAUGCAGUGAUGUCAUCUCGGUUCACUCAGCUUCCACAUCCUGGGCUCAAGUGAUCCUCCCGCCUCGGCCUCCCAGAGGUCUGGGAUCACAGGCGGAGCCACCACAUCGGUCCAGCCGUUGCGGUUCGUGCCAGGUGGUCGGCUGGCCAUCACGGUGCCCUUGUCACCUGUGUCUCCAAGCCCUACACACCAUGAAGGUGUGCCCAAGGAUGUUGUAGAACUCUCUAGCCACAGUGUGGGGAUGGGAGCUCCCGCCGACAGACUCUGUUGCUUUCUGGCUUGAUUCCUGAAUGACCCGGCAGCAUGGCAGAGGUGGUGGCUACUGAUAUGGCUCCGAUGACGGGAGGAACACCAGGGUCCUUGGUUUUGCGCUGAUGUAGGCGCAACCUGGAAGAGCCAGAGAGAAGAACUACACAAGACAAGGAGCACAGAGGCAAGUUGGAGCACCAUUGCACCCUGAAAACAGCUGGUGCUUG
This is a long non-coding RNA of Piliocolobus tephrosceles (Ugandan red Colobus), 592 nucleotides long. RefSeq lists it as uncharacterized. The transcript has 5 exons. The record is from RefSeq and is a predicted model, not a curated record. NCBI's taxonomy places the organism in Eukaryota, Metazoa, Chordata, Mammalia, Primates, Cercopithecidae.